Long non-coding RNA from Acinonyx jubatus (cheetah), 5988 nucleotides. RefSeq lists it as uncharacterized. NCBI's taxonomy places the organism in Eukaryota, Metazoa, Chordata, Mammalia, Carnivora, Felidae. The record is from RefSeq and is a predicted model, not a curated record. The transcript is spliced from 7 exons.
ACUGACUGUUCACAUAAUACCUCUGAGAGGUGACCUAAGCAACCUGUACCUCAGAGAGGUGAUUGGCAGUCAACAGUGUGAAGUUUAAAACUUAACUUUUCCCGGCAUUUUCUCCCCUAAUGUGUUCUCAAAGAGAGAUAGCUUUAAGAAAUAAAGUAACGUGAAGCAACCCUUGUGACAAACAAACCUAGAUUUUUGAAACGUUCUGUUUUCAUGGAAGCGUAACUCUGAGAAACUUCUGGAAUAAAGCUAGACACGGAGCAGGAAGAGGACAUCAUUCACAGUUAACAGCUGGAAGGCAUGCCGUUCUCGGUCAAGGGUCCUUCCAGAGAGGAAAGGAAAAUGCUGAGACCAUCCUGAGGCUCCAUUCAGUACCUAAGUGAAAGAGUUGGGGCAAAGGGAAUGAUGAGACAGGAAGCCGGGUGCCACAGCCGCCCAUCCGUAUCUGCCAGCCCUACAGCUCCCGGCAUAAUUCAACUGUAAUUGAUAAUGUAAGGGCAGAUGGAGAGGACUGUCAGCCCCUCCCUUGCAUCUCUGGGGACGCUGCAGAAAUCAAAGCAGAUGGCCCAACUGCAUCUUCUUUAUGUGUUGCUGCGAGCUCCUCUGUCUGCAGGAUAAUGGAUCAUUACGGCCUGCUGUGUACAAACACCAAUAUGCUUUUAAAUCUGGUUCUCAAGCUUAUGAAAAAGCCCCGUAUUUCAUAUUAAUUUGCGAAGCUGCACUUCACAAGUUCAUGGUUUGUCACUCAACAAGCUUGAGCCCGGAUGGUCUUCAAUUGUCUGGAGCUGAAGGACUGUGUUCCAGCUCCCAGAACCACAACACUAGAGAAAGACACGGGGUGCGGUCUUCUUCGAUGAACAGCACAACAGCACAGAUAAGUUUUAAGAGUUAAGAUUCCCAAACCUUCCUCUCUAAUCCUUUUUUUCAAAGCGUUAAAAUCCUUUCUCUUUCCUUCCCUCUCCCUCAGCUUCUUUCUUUCUUUUGAAGCAGGUGGUGAGAGGGCACAUCCUUGCCUUGCUCCUGAUCUUAGUGGAAAGUUUCACGUUUCUCACCACGAAGUAGGCGCUUAGCUGUAGGUUUGGGGAGAUAUUCUUGGCCACGCUGAGGAAAUUCUCCUCUGUUAGGGUUUUUAGCUUCUUGUCUUUGUUUUUGUUUUUUUAAAGACUUUGUAAUUUACUUUUUAUUUUUUUUAAUGUUUAUUUAUUUUUGAGAGAGAGAAAGAGAGAGAGACAGAGUGUGAGCAGGGGAGGGGCAGAGAGAGAGGAAGACAGAAUCCAAAGCAGGCUUCAGGCUCUGAGCUGUCAGCACAGAGCCCGACGUGGGGCUCGAACUCACAUGGACCACGAAAUCAUGACCUGAGCCGAGGUCACACAUUUAACCGACUGAGCCACCCAGGCGCCCCUAAAGACUUUGUAUUUUAAAGCAGUUUUAUGUUCACAGCAAAACUGAAAGACAAGGUGUCUCAUCUACCUUCUGUCCCCACACAUACACAACCUCUCCCACUAGAAUGGGACUUUUGUGGCAGCUGAUGAACCUAUAUUGACACAUCACAAUCAGUAAAAGUCCGCAGUUGACAGGAGGGUUCACUUUCGGUGUUGGACAUUCUAUGUGUUUGGACAAACGUAUAAGGACACGCACCUGCCAGUAUAGCAUCACAGAAUACUUUCAUUGCCCUAAAAACCCUCUGUGCACUGCUUAUUCAUUGAUUCCUCCCUGCCGCCCUGGCAACCACUGAUGCUUUCACUAUUUCCAUAGCUUUGCCUUUUUCCAGAAUAGUUGGAAUCAUAUAGUAUGUAGACUUUUUAGAUUGGCUGUCUUCAUUCAGUAAUACGCAUUUGACAAGCAUCCACGUCUUUACGUGGCUUGAUAACUCAUUUUGUUUUAGCACUGAAUAAUAUUCCAACGUUUGGAUGUACCACUGUUUAUCCCCUCACUGCUUCCAAGUUUUGGCAAUUAUGAAUCAAGCUGCUGUAAACAUCCGGGUGCAGGUUUUUGUGUGGACAUGUUUUCCGCUCUUUGGGGUGAAUACCAGGGAGCAAGGUCACCGGAUCCCACGGUGAGGCAACAGGGCAGUGUUUCAAAGGACAUGGACACCAGGCUGGAGAGAAUUAGGUGUGAAACCACUUAUGCGCCUCCGGUUCUCAUCUGGAAAGUGCAGACAACUACCUUAUAGGGGAGAUGCCAGGAUGAAGCGAGCUGCUGGCAGUUCAUAAGGUCCUCCCACAAAUCUGACCGGUGCCCCCAGCAGCCCAGUGAGGUGAUUGGAGGCUGAGACACCAAGAGAUGAGGCCAGAGUCACACAGCCAAGGAGGAGCCUGCACUCCAGCUCAGAGCUUCUGACCCCCCGGUGCUGCUGGCUUCCCUCAAACAGCAUCAGAGGGCAGAUCUCCCAUGUACUGAUGCAUCUUGUGGCAGCCAAGAGACACAGAACAGACCACCUGCAUGGCUCUCCAUGGAGGGCAAAGUUGGGGAAUUGUGCAGACCAGCCUCCAGUUCCAGGCUUGGCAGUGAAUCUGAGGAAUACUCACCAACUCGUAUUUAAAAAAAAAAAAAAAAAAAAAAAAGCUCUGUUUCCUUCCUGAAUCAAAGGAAAUGCUAUAUCCCUUGGCAGUGCAGUCCGAAUAACUUCAGCGACUCCCACAGUGAUUCAGACACCGCCCCCUACAACAGGCUGUUGUCUUUCCUCCCCUCCCGGUGCCAAGUCCCAGGGUUUGCCCAGCCCGGCUCGGGAGUCCCCAGGCCCAGCUGCUCGGCCCCAGCGAGCCAGACCGGGAGGUGGAUCGGGGCAACCAGCCUGGGGCAAUCUGAAAAAGUCAUCUUCCAGGAAAUUCCAGACACAAGGCGCCCUGUCACCACAGUGAGGGGGACACUCACCAGAAGGGACUGCGUCAAUCCCCUCCUGCAGUCUGAGCACUGUCGGCAUGCAGCUCGGCACAGAAGGUUUUGUCAUUUGGACUGUAAUAAACCCCACUUCCUGAACUCUGUGCCCCUCCGGGUUCUACAUCAACCACACCGUCCGUCCCUGCAUGUACCCCUGCCCUGUCGGGGCCCAGUGCACCUGCAGCCGCCAUCGGAGGCCUCAGGUGCUGCUCACGUGUGCUAAUGAAAAGUGCUCUCCGGCCACCUUGGAGGACAGGGGCAAUGUGCUCCAGCUAAGGCAGCGGGGCUCAACCUUGACUGCACCCGAGAAUCCCCUGGGAGCUUUCACAAUCCUGAUGACCAGGCUGCAGACCAGACCAAUUAAACUACAGUCUCUGGGGGGUAGGAGCCAGGUAUCAGGACUUUUUUUUUUUAAGUUGGCCAAAGGAUUUCCAGUGCGCAGUCAAGUGUAAGAAGACCUGGGACUGCAGAGGGCGUCCUUUCUUUUCUCCUUUCCCCCUCCCUUCCUUCCUUCUUCUUUCCUUCCUAUCACCCUCUCUCCCUCCUUCCUUCACACUGUUUACUGAAGCAUCUUAUUCUAUGGUCAAAGCCAGGGUUUACAGACAGACCAUCCUCACUUUGAAUUCCAGCUUGGCUGCCACUGUGUGUGCAAAUCCUUUCACUUCUUCGAAGUUUGGCUUUCUCAUUCUCAUAAAGCAGGGAACAUUAAAGGACUUACCCCCAGAGAAUCCUUGUGAGGAUUAAAUAUCACAGAUGAAGUGUUUACCAUAGUACCUAGAAAUUAGUAUGUGCUCAAUAAAUGUGCAUGGAUUUUUCUUCUAGCUAUUAUUGUAGUUUUCCGAGAGCUAUGCUAGAUGUGGGGACGACAAAAGAAAGAACACAGGCUUAAUGUUUGUUCGCACACAACUGACUCUCUUCCCAUUCAGUCCUUAGCUGGAGAGUAGCCUUGCACUGCUGGCCAGGACAGGGUGGACGGAGAUUUCUCUUAAUUAGUACCUAUCAUUUACUGAACACACCCAAUGUUCAAUCAUAUCACAACCAUACAGGGCACAGUCCUGAACGUGUACUGAACGUGAUGUCAUCAGUGGCUCUGUGCCAACCCGGAGCAGAAAAUGCUAUUGAUAUUUACAUCUUGCAGGUGGAGAAUCAGAGGCUCAGAGAAAUUCACCAUUUCACCCGUGGUCACAUGGGUAGAAACAAACCCAAGCUUUCAAGCACCACGUGGCUCUUCUUCCUACGUGGAUCUGGGGUAUGCCUGCAAGGGAAUUAUGAGGGCUGGCUAGAAUGAGGAGGAUAAAGCAGGUCCUCUAAGCUGGAGCACAUUAGGGGAAGGACACAACCAAACUGGGGUGACGCCACGGUAUUGAGGGGCCAGGCACAAAGGAGAAUAAGUAUGGUAAAUGGAGGUGAAGAGGGAGGGGUCUGGAUGGGUCCAGGAGUAGGGGAACAGUGAUGAGUGGGCAGCGAGUCAAUGUAAAGUGUCCAGGGCAGAAUGGGAUGUUCUCAAUUCAUAGAAAUCUUGGCCAAGUCCGGGCGGCUCAGUAGGUUAAGCAUCCGACUUCAGCUCAUGUCAUGAUCUCCAGGCUCAUGUCCGUGAGUUCGAGCCCCACGGAGGGCUCUGUGCUGACAGCUCAGAGCCUGGAGCCUGCUUCGGAUUCUGUGCCUCCCUCUCUGCUCCUCCCCUACUCACUCUCUGUCUCUGUCUCUCAAAAAUAAAUAAACGUUAAAAAAAAAAUUUAAAAAAAAAAAAAAAGAAAUGGUGGCUAAGUCCAAUGAUCCCACUGUAUGUCCAGCUGUAUCACCAGUGUAGUUUGCUGAAAAUUAAAUGGCAAAACACAAGUGGUGAGUACACAUCUUCAAACAUGCUUUAAAUGGUUUGUGUCUGUCAAAAAGGACUUACUUUUACAACAAGGCUCUAUUAUCCACAGUCUGAGUAGCAAUAAAUUUUGAGAGUGGAGGGAGACAUCCUUAGGGAGCAUUGCUGGGGCUCCAACAAAGACGGGCUCAGUUAGAAAUGCUGGAUGACCUAGCUGGGAACACGCAGACUCUGGGUUUAAUUUAAAUUCUGGUUUAAAUCAGGGCUCUGCCCCUUAUGACCGUGUAAUCUCUCUGGGCCUCAGUUUCCUCAUCUGUAAAAUGUUGCUGACCGUGCAGCUGUCUCCGUGCAUUGUGGUGAAAAUGAAAUACGGCCAAGCCUGUCCAACGCUUAGAAUGGCCCUCCAUACACCCUAAGCACUCAAACGGGGUGGGGGGGUGGUGGUGUAGGGGUUAUGGAUUAGUUAUCCAGGUUGUCAGACCGGCCACCCCAUGCUCAGGAAUCGCUCCCCCUCAGCCCAGGCCCCGUUGCUCUUAGAUCCCCUUCCAUAGACAAGUUCACUUUGCUCCUCUUCCAGAGCUAGCUGCAUGUUAUUUAUUUUGCACGGUAUUUGUUUUCCAAUAUUUUUACUAAGUAGGACAGCUAUAUCAAUGAGGUCUGCUGCUUUAUUGGUUGCUAAUUGCUGGGGCAUAAUUGUUGCAUCGUUACUUGGUGUUCCUAUAAUUCUCUGCAGCCAAUCAAGGUGGCCAACUCUAAUUACAACACAGUGAAUUCUCAGGCACCAGCAUCCAAAUGCUUAAAGGGUUCAGUUUACAAGAACUCUUUCCAGCACUUUUACAAGAAAGGGCUUAACUGACAAAAGGCAAGGAAGUCACGCCAGAAAAUAAUUUUUGAAAGUAAUUUUGUAAGUAUACAUGCACCUAUAAAAUAAUAAGCAUUUUAUAAUUACAGCGGCAUAUAUAUUUCUUGAAAGCAGUUUCUAAGGUCUGUCUCAAGAUCUUUGCACAUUCAACUUGAUCUCUAAUUAGACAACAAGAGCUGGUGUUUAUAAUGAUCAUAAUUCCAAGACCCAGACAGAUCUCAAUGGGCCUUUGCACACAUCAGAUACUAGCUAUACUCAGUCUAGUUCUACACUAGCACUGCAGGCGUUUUAUUAUUUUCAGAUGUUUUCUGGAACUCAUAACCCACCUAUGUCCUCUCCACAAGUCAAGGGAUCCAAAUAUUCAAUCCAGGGAUGCCUGGGUGGCUCAGUCAAUUAAGUGCCCGACUUCAGCUCAGGUCAUGAUCUCAUG